This is a long non-coding RNA of Oncorhynchus nerka (sockeye salmon), 342 nucleotides long. RefSeq lists it as uncharacterized. NCBI's taxonomy places the organism in Eukaryota, Metazoa, Chordata, Actinopteri, Salmoniformes, Salmonidae. The transcript has 2 exons. The record is from RefSeq and is a predicted model, not a curated record.
CUCCCUGAUGGAGAGAGAGAACAGACAAUAUAAAUGGACCUGGGGACAGACAGCAUGAAGAGUGGAUGUUUCCCACAAAGCAAUAAAAACAAUCCUACAUCUGUUUCAACAGACUCACCUGUCCAUUGUUGUAACGGCCGUCGUGGGAAGAAGUCCUCCCGGUUUUGACCCUUGCCUGUUCUCUGGACUCUGUACCCGCCUGCCUGACCAUUCUGCCUGCCUUGACCACGAGCCUGUCUGCCACUCUGUACCUCCUGGACUCUGAUCUGGUUUUGACCUUUGAGCCUGUCAACGACCAUUCUCUUGCCGACCCCUUGGAUUAUUAAACAUCUUAAACUCCAA